AUGAUUCAACAUCUUCAAAUUAAGAGACAGAAGUUCAGUUCGUCUCAGAAAGCAAUUUGGAUGAGCUGAAAAAAGACAAAUUUCCAUCUGAGUCUGUUUUACCACGCCCAAUAUGUCAGCUGAAGUUUCCUGUGGACAGUCUUGAACUACAUGCCAGCCUGUGUGGAGAACAACAUCUAUUGGAGUCUCCAGAUCACAGCUCUUUUAUGCACAAUGAUGAUUCUUGUAUUACUGACGAUACAACAGGCAAUUCAAGCUCUCCAC
Sinocyclocheilus anshuiensis is the source of this 264-nucleotide long non-coding RNA. RefSeq lists it as uncharacterized. The transcript has 4 exons. The record is from RefSeq and is a predicted model, not a curated record. Lineage: Eukaryota; Metazoa; Chordata; Actinopteri; Cypriniformes; Cyprinidae.